UUGAAACCGAUUCAAGGGGUAAACCUGAGAAACCCGAAAGGUCGAAAGGGGAAAUUCAUUCGCGUUUCGGACUCGUCGGCGUCGAACGUGUCGCGUGACGAACGACGUGCUUGCACGACGUUCGCGCCUUCCGUUCUUCGAACCGGCAUCGAACGCGUGCACUUUUCCCCUAGUAGGACGUCGCGAUUCGUUGGGUGUCGGCCUAAGGGCCGCGGUGGAGUCCGCGCGGACGUUUCGGCGUAUCGUGCGGACCCGCGAACCCUGGCCGACUCGCUCGACGGUAUACAGAUGGCGCGGGGCCGCUACGGUCGUCGCACGGCGACUUCGGUCGUUUGUGCGACGUUCUCGAUUAGCGUUCGGCCCGCGGCAAGCGCGUUCGGCGUACGACGGCGAUCGGACCUCGUGCCGGUCCUGUCCCCGAAUGGCUGUUGGCCGCGGUGGUAANGUGGUGGUGGUGAUGGUGGUUUUUUUUCUCCAUCAACAUCAUCUCUCGAACAGACCUCGUCGUCGCGCGUAAGCGCGUAACGCCGAUCUGCGACGCUAUAGCUUUGGGUACUUUCAGGACCCGUCUUGAA
This 575-nucleotide ribosomal RNA is filed under the name Parandra brunnea. Its description in RNAcentral is "partial 28S ribosomal RNA". The record is from RNAcentral. Lineage: Eukaryota; Metazoa; Arthropoda; Insecta; Coleoptera; Cerambycidae.